GGGGCUGUAGUCUAACCAGGCAGGACAGCUGGCUCCAGACCAGCAGAUCAGAGUUCAAAAGGCCUUUCUUCAAAAGAAAGCCCUUGGGGAAAGAACUUCGAACCUCGGAAAGUCUCUGCGGCCCCACCA
This 129-nucleotide transfer RNA is filed under the name archaeon. RNAcentral's name for it is "tRNA-Trp". The record is from RNAcentral.